UCUUCUUUCUUCCUCUUCUUCUCUGUUGUCCUGCUCGUGAUUUCGGUGAGAAGGUUUAAUGAGUUUGAGAUUGAAAUCUAGGGGAAAUAUUAAGAAUUGAUAGCUGGAGAUGAUGAUGUGAAUUAUUGAGCCGGUAUGAGAAGAAAUUGUUGCUGUAAAUUAGAAGUUACGGUUUCUGGAAGAAUUCAAAGAUGAAUUAGAAGAUGUAAUUGAUGUUUUAAGAAGGGGAUUUGAUAUGGGUAUUGAUCGAUUGGAUGAAUUAGGGUUAGAGAUGAAGAGUAAUUCGAGUUUGAUGAAGUUAGGGUUUUGAAGCUGUAAAUGAAACUAGGGUUCCUAUGUAAAUCAAAGAUGGUGAUGAAGAUUGUUGGGUGUUUAUAUUUUUGAUAUGAUUAUUCAAUUGAGGCAAAGGAAGGAAGAAUUCGACCUCAGUUGCCUGAACAACACUGAUUUAAGGUAAUUGUUCUUGUUAGUACAAUUGAUUCAAGUUCAUUAUAAAGUUUAUGAGUUGUUCAAUGAAUUGAGAACUGAGAUGGAUGUGUGUGUAUGUGAAUGGUGUUGUAAUAGAUGAACUGAAUUGUUGUGGUUGAAUUGGAUUGAGAUGGAGAUGUGGUUGUAAAGAAGAUGUUGUUUGAAUGGAAAUUGUACUGUUUUGGUGGUGGCAGUUAAUGUAAGUUGCAGGUGAUAUUGAGUUGGAUUGGCAGUGCAAUGAAGGAGUUAUGGCUAGUUUUGUGUUGGAUUGCAGAGGGCAUGAAUGAAUGGUGUAGGUCUGUAAAAUAAUAUUAAAGAAUGGAUUGCUAGGUGGUUAUGGUUUUAGUGCAGAGAAAGAGUAGAGUUAUGUGUUAAGGUUGUGAUUACAGAAGUGAAGAUGUUGCAGAAGACUUGGAUGAAUCAAGUGUUUGGUUUUAGUUAUUGCAGAUGUAACUUAUGGAUGUAAUGGGGUUGCUUGACAGUACAGUUUAGAGUUUGAGUUGAAGGGGUUAAUUGAUGCAGUUAGAAUUGUGGUUGAUGUUUAGAGGAAUAUAUUAAGUCGAAGCUUUUUAGUGGAAGCUUGGAACUGCAAUUGCAGUUUUUCAGUAACUUGAAGGAAUGGAGCGCUCGAAGAUAUCUGUUUCGUAGCUUAGAGUUUUAUGGAAUCUAGUGUUGUUGUGCAUCUUUUACUAUAUGUAUUCUUUCUUAUUUUGUAAACAACACAUUUAUAUAUUCUUAGAACUCGAAAGACUUUCAUUUAUAUAAUAUCAGAGAGUUUGGGUUUUGUUAUUU
This is a long non-coding RNA of Papaver somniferum (opium poppy), 1260 nucleotides long. RefSeq lists it as uncharacterized. Lineage: Eukaryota; Viridiplantae; Streptophyta; Magnoliopsida; Ranunculales; Papaveraceae. The transcript has 2 exons. The record is from RefSeq and is a predicted model, not a curated record.